UAUGCACUUGAGUAAGCUAAC
This 21-nucleotide non-coding RNA is filed under the name Caenorhabditis elegans. Lineage: Eukaryota; Metazoa; Nematoda; Chromadorea; Rhabditida; Rhabditidae. The record is from RNAcentral.